RNAcentral lists this ribosomal RNA (489 nucleotides) under uncultured bacterium. RNAcentral describes it as "bacterial SSU rRNA". It matches the Rfam family "Bacterial small subunit ribosomal RNA", at positions 28 to 507 of the family's 1533-position model. The record is from RNAcentral.
GACGAACGCUGGCGGCGUGGAUUAGGCAUGCAAGUCGAACGGUAUCAUCCUUUCGGGGAUGAGAGAGUGGCGAACGGGUGAGUAACACGUAGGUGAUCUACCCUCAAGACGGGGACAACCCAGGGAAACUUGGGCUAAUACCGGAUGUGAGCUAUCGCGAGAUAGUUUGAAAGGUGGCUUCGGCUGCCGCUUGAGGAUGAGCCUGCGUCCUAUUAGCUAGUUGGUGAGGUAACGGCUCACCGAGGCAGUGAUAGGUAGGCGGCCUUAACGGGUGGUCGCCCACACUGGGAUUGAGAUACGGCCCAGACUCCUACGGGAGGCAGCAGUCGAGAAUAGUCUACAAUGGUCGAAAGACCUGAUAGUGCGACGCCGCGUGAACGAAGAAGCCCUUCAGGGUGUAAAGUUCUUUUAUAUGUGAGCAGUGACAUCUAUAUUAAUAGUAUGGGUGGAGAGAUAUUAGCAUAUGAAUAAGCAACGGCUAACUCCGUG